UUUGCGUAGAUCAUUUUAAUGCGUUCAUUUUUUUUUUUGCGUAUUUUUGUGCCUAAUUUUUAUUCAUUUUAAUUGCUUUUAUUUUUGUUUUUUAGUAACAAAUGUUGAGAGAAAAUAAAUAUAGACAAAUACAUAUUCAUUUGGUUUUGAUUUGUCUCUAUUAAAUAAGAGUUAAUUGCUUUUAUUUUUAUUUUUUAGUAAAAAAU
Molecule: long non-coding RNA, 206 nt
Filed under: Lathyrus oleraceus (garden pea)
Lineage: Eukaryota; Viridiplantae; Streptophyta; Magnoliopsida; Fabales; Fabaceae
Description: Pisum sativum (pea) long non-coding RNA (PSAT_LNC030115)
Source: RNAcentral